UACGGAGGGUGCAAACGUUGCUCGGAAUCAUUGGGCGUAAAGCGCACGUAGGCGGCCUGAUAAGUCUUGUGUGAAAUCUCUGGGCUCAACCCAGAGUCUGCAUAGGAAACUGUCGGGCUUGAGUAUGGGAGAGGUGCGUGGAAUUUCCGGUGUAGCGGUGAAAUGCGUAGAUAUCGGAAGGAACACCUGUGGCGAAAGCGGCGCACUGGACCAAAACUGACGCUGAGGCGCGAAAGCUAGGGGAGCAAACAGG
This 253-nucleotide ribosomal RNA is filed under the name uncultured bacterium. RNAcentral describes it as "partial 16S ribosomal RNA". It matches the Rfam family "Bacterial small subunit ribosomal RNA", at positions 524 to 776 of the family's 1533-position model. The record is from RNAcentral.